UCCGUAGGUGGAUAAUUAAGUCAGAGGUGAAAUCCUGCAGCUCAACUGUAGAAUGGCCUUUGAUACUGGUUAUCUUGAGUCAUUAUGAAGUGGUUAGAAUGUGUAGUGUAGCGGUGAAAUGCAUAGAUAUUACACAGAAUACCGAUUGCGAAGGCAGAUCACUAAUAAUGUACUGACACUGAGGGACGAAAGCGUGGGGAGCGAACAGGAUUAGAUACCCUGGUAGUCC
RNAcentral lists this ribosomal RNA (229 nucleotides) under uncultured bacterium. RNAcentral's name for it is "partial 16S ribosomal RNA". It matches the Rfam family "Bacterial small subunit ribosomal RNA", at positions 568 to 796 of the family's 1533-position model. The record is from RNAcentral.